Molecule: ribosomal RNA, 484 nt
Filed under: uncultured bacterium
Lineage: Bacteria
Description: partial 16S ribosomal RNA
Rfam family: Bacterial small subunit ribosomal RNA
Source: RNAcentral
AUUGAACGCUGGCGGCAUGCUUUACACAUGCAAGUCGAACGGCAGCGCGGGCUUCGGCCUGGCGGCGAGUGGCGAACGGGCGAGUAAUGCAGCGGAACGUGCCCAGUAGUGGGGGAUAGCCCGGCGAAAGCCGGAUUAAUACCGCAUACGACCUGAGGGUGAAAGCGGGGGACCGAAAGGCCUCGCGCCAUUGGAGCGGCCGAUGUCGGAUUAGCUAGUUGGUGGGGUAAAGGCUUACCAAGGCGACGAUCCGUAGCUGGUCUGAGAGGACGACCAGCCACACUGGAACUGAGACACGGCCCAGACUCCUACGGGAGGCAGCAGUGGGGAAUUUUGGACAAUGGGGGCAACCCUGAUCCAGCCAUGCCGCGUGCGGGAAGAAGGCCUUCGGGUUGUAAACCGCUUUUGUUCGGGAAGAAAACCUCUGGGCUAAUACCCCGGGGGGAUGACGGUACCGGAAGAAUAAGCACCGGCUAACUACGUG